UGGGGAAUUUUGCACAAUGGGGGAAACCCUGAUGCAGCGACGCCGCGUGAUUUAGAAGGCCUUCGGGUUGUAAAAAUCUUUUCUAUGGGAAGAAAAUGACAGUACCAUAGGAAUAAGGACCGGCUAAUCACGUGCCAGCAGCCGCGGUAAUACGUAAGGUCCGAGCGUUGUCCGGAAUCAUUGGGCGUAAAGGGUACGUAGGCGGGUAAGCAAGUUAGAAGUGAAAUCCUAUAGCUCAACUAUAGUAAGCUUUUAAAACUGCUCAUCUUGAGGUAUGGAAGGGAAAGUGGAAUUCCUAGUGUAGCGGUGAAGUGCGCAGAUAUUAGGAGGAAUACCGGUGGCGAAGGCGACUUUCUGGCCAUAACCUGACGCUGAGGUACGAAAGCGUGGGUAGCAAACAGG
Molecule: ribosomal RNA, 402 nt
Filed under: bacterium
Lineage: Bacteria
Description: partial 16S ribosomal RNA
Rfam family: Bacterial small subunit ribosomal RNA
Source: RNAcentral